CUGGCGGCGUGCCUAAUACAUGCAAGUCGAGCGAACAGAUAAGGAGCUUGCUCCUUUGACGUUAGCGGCGGACGGGUGAGUAACACGUGGGUAACCUACCUAUAAGACUGGGAUAACUUCGGGAAACCGGAGCUAAUACCGGAUAACAUUUGGAACCGCAUGGUUCUAAAGUGAAAGAUGGUUUUGCUAUCACUUAUAGAUGGACCCGCGCCGUAUUAGCUAGUUGGUAAGGUAACGGCUUACCAAGGCGACGAUACGUAGCCGACCUGAGAGGGUGAUCGGCCACACUGGAACUGAGACACGGUCCAGACUCCUACGGGAGGCAGCAGUAGGGAAUCUUUUNNNAUGGGGGAAAGNGGCACGGAGCAACGCCGCGUGAGUGAUGAAGGGUUUCGGCUCGUAAAACUCUGUUAUUAGGGAAGAACAAACGUGUA
RNAcentral lists this ribosomal RNA (434 nucleotides) under Staphylococcus saprophyticus. RNAcentral describes it as "bacterial SSU rRNA". It matches the Rfam family "Bacterial small subunit ribosomal RNA", at positions 36 to 459 of the family's 1533-position model. The record is from RNAcentral. Lineage: Bacteria; Bacillati; Bacillota; Bacilli; Caryophanales; Staphylococcaceae.